CACGUAGGGGGCAAGCGUUGUCCGGAUUUAUUGGGCGUAAAAAGCUCGUAGGUGGUUCGGUAAGUCGGGUGUGAAACCUCCAGGCUCAACCUGGAGACGCCACCCGAUACUGCUGUGACUGGAGUCCGGUAGGGGAGCGUGGAAUUCCUGGUGUAGCGGUGAAAUGCGCAGAUAUCAGGAGGAACACCGGUGGCGAAGGCGGAUCUCUGGGCCAUUACUGACGCUGAGGAGCGAAAGCGUGGGGAGCGAACAGG
Molecule: ribosomal RNA, 254 nt
Filed under: uncultured bacterium
Lineage: Bacteria
Description: partial 16S ribosomal RNA
Rfam family: Bacterial small subunit ribosomal RNA
Source: RNAcentral